Molecule: ribosomal RNA, 460 nt
Filed under: uncultured bacterium
Lineage: Bacteria
Description: partial 16S ribosomal RNA
Rfam family: Bacterial small subunit ribosomal RNA
Source: RNAcentral
CCUACGGGUGGCAGCAGUGAGGAAUAUUGGUCAAUGGACGAGAGUCUGAACCAGCCAAGUAGCGUGAAGGAUGACUGCCCUAUGGGUUGUAAACUUCUUUUAUAUGGGAAUAAAAUGUUCCACGUGUGGGAGUUUGUAUGUACCAUAUGAAUAAGGAUCGGCUAAAUCCGUGCCAGCAGCCGCGGUAAUACGGAGGGUCCGAGCGUUCGCCGGAUUUAUUGGGUUUAAAGGGAGCGUAGGUGGAGUGUUAAGUCAGUUGUGAAAGUUUGCGGCUCAAACGUAAAAUUGCAGUUGAAACUGGCAGUCUUGAGUACAGUAGAGGUGGGCGGAAUGCGUGGUGUAGCGGUGAAAUGCUUAGAUAUCACGAAGAACUCCGAUUGCGAAGGCAGCUCACUGGACUGCAACUGACACUGAGGCUCGAAAGUGUGGGUAUCAAACAGGAUUAGAUACCCUGGUAGUC